AUUGAACGCUGGCGGCAGGCCUAACACAUGCAAGUCGAGCGGCUGCAGGGAGCUCGCUCCUGGAUUCAGUGGCGGACGGGUGAGUAAUGCCUAGGAAUCUGCCUGGUAGUGGGGGAUAACGUCCGGGAACGGGCGCUGAUACCGCAUACGUCCUGAGGGUGAUAGUGGGGGAUCUUAGGACAUCACGCUAUCAGAUAAGCAUAGGUCGGAUUAGCUAGUUGGUGGGGUAAAGGCCUACCAAGUCGACGAUCCGUAUCUGAUCUGAGCGAAUGAUGAGUCACACUGGAACUGAGACACGUUCCAGAGUCUUACGGGAAGCAGCAUUGUGGAAGAUUGGACAAGGGGCGAAAGCCUGAUCCAGCCAUGCCGCGUGAGUGAAGAAGGUCUUCGGAUUGUAAAGCACUUUUAGUUGGGAAGAAGGUCAGUAAGCUAAUACCUUGUGGUUUUGACGUUACCAACAGAAUAAGCACCGGCUAACUUCGUG
Molecule: ribosomal RNA, 484 nt
Filed under: uncultured bacterium
Lineage: Bacteria
Description: partial 16S ribosomal RNA
Rfam family: Bacterial small subunit ribosomal RNA
Source: RNAcentral